Molecule: long non-coding RNA, 816 nt
Filed under: Phoenix dactylifera (date palm)
Lineage: Eukaryota; Viridiplantae; Streptophyta; Magnoliopsida; Arecales; Arecaceae
Description: long non-coding RNA (PDAC_LNC014804)
Source: RNAcentral
AACGAUUCAUUGCUUGGUCAAGAGCUCUCCUUUUUUACAUUGCAUCACGUUUCUCUGUUCGUAUGGUUAUUGUUAUUGAUAUAUUUUACAUCUGUGCUUGUUAUGAAGAACUACUUCUGUUGUCAUUAGUCCAUUCUCCCCUUUUUUCAGAAAAAAAUCCUGCCACUAGAAAUAGAAUCUUAUUAUAUUGUUGAUAAUACUUGUGUUUAAGGUACAAUAUUAUAUUUUAUAUUCUAACAAUCAGCUAUAUAUUAACCUGAAGAAAGAAAUGGCCUUAGCUAUAUUUGUCGGUGUUGCUAAAGAACUCUCAUGAAUAGCACUUCAGCUCAUAACCCAAAAAAAUAGCACUUCAACUCACCACUUAAGAGUUACGGUAAAUUGCCCUUUUAAGUAAAACUCUGCAUGAUCUUGUACUGUGUCAAUCAUUUGCUAUGUGUAAUCUCUCGUGAGAAAAGAAAAUUUACAUUCUGGUGUGGAUUGAGUUUUUGCAUGUGUUUGUGUUGCACUUGUGCAGCAAGUUCGAUACAUCACAUUGUACAAUUUGGGAUCUCGAGAAAGAAAUGAUAGAUGACAUGUUAAUUAAGCAGGGCCCUGGAUUUUCCUGUUUGAGAGAAGCUCUAGAGUUUCUUGUUAUCACGUGUGAUCUUUUUUUUAAAUAUAGUGUGGAAAAGUAAUCAGAAAGCUCGAGGAGAAAAGCUUCAGGGGUCAAUUUCAUCAAAAAAGAAACAUCAGAUGUAAACAAUGAUGUAAGUUGGAAGAUUAUGGUCAUUGUGUCUGCAGCAAUCUUGUUUCUUCUUCUAAUACCACCCUGAAAUC